Molecule: ribosomal RNA, 364 nt
Filed under: Zabius fuscus
Lineage: Eukaryota; Metazoa; Arthropoda; Arachnida; Scorpiones; Buthidae
Description: partial 16S ribosomal RNA
Rfam family: Archaeal large subunit ribosomal RNA (bases 92-364)
Source: RNAcentral
GGAUGAAGGAUUAACCAAAGAAAUUAUCUCUUUUUUAUAUACAUUAAAUUUUACUUUUUAGUUAAAAGGCUAAAAUGAUUUUUUUAGACAAGAAGACCCUAUAAAGCUUUACAUACUAAAAUUUGAGAGACUUUUAUUAUGUUUAACUGGGGCGGUAAAGAGAUAAACACUCUUAAAUUAUUAGAUAUCUUAAUAUUAAUACCCAAAACUUUUGAAAAUUAAAUAAGUUACUUUAGGGAUAACAGCGUUAUAUGUUUAGAGAGUUCUAAUCGAAAAAUAUGUUUGCGACCUCGAUGUUGAAUUAAAUUUUCUUUAUUAUGCAAAAGUAAUAUAAGAAGGUCUGUUCGACCUUUAAAAAUUUCCA